This 481-nucleotide ribosomal RNA is filed under the name uncultured bacterium. Its description in RNAcentral is "partial 16S ribosomal RNA". It matches the Rfam family "Bacterial small subunit ribosomal RNA", at positions 28 to 507 of the family's 1533-position model. The record is from RNAcentral.
GACGAACGUUGGCGGCGUGCUUAAUACAUGCAAGUCAACUGAAGCAGUGGUAGCAAUAUCGCUGUGGAGGUGGCGCACGGGUGAGUAACACGUAGGUAAUCUGCCCUCAGGUCUGGCAUAACUCCGGGAAACCGGGGCUAAUAGCAGAUGAUGCAGCGGCUCGACAUCGAGACAGUUGUUAAAGCUAUGGCGCCUGAAGAUGAGCCUGCGUCUGAUUAGCUAGUUGGCGGGGUAACGGCCCACCAAGGCAACGAUCAGUAGCUGGUCUGAGAGGAUGAUCAGCCACACUGGAACUGAGACACGGUCCAGACUCCUGCGGGAGGCAGCAGUAAGGAAUAUUGCUCAAUGGGAGAAAUCCUGAAGCAGCAACGCCGCGUGAGGGACGAAGGGCUUUUGCUUGUAAACCUCUGUAGUGAGAGAAAAAAAUCCCAAUCUUUGGGACAUGAUGGUAUCUCAAAAGUAAGCCCCGGCUAACUACGUG